UACUAUUUGUAAUGUUGAAGGCUAUGCCUACGUGUAUGGCCUUGGCUUCUAUCAAUCAAAUUUAUUUGUAUAGUGUAUUUUACGGCAGUUGUCACAAUGCGCUUUACAGACAACCCUGGCCUGCACCCCCACAGGAGCAAGCCUAAGGCGACAGUGGCAAGGAAAAGCUCCCUGUGGCAGAUAGGAAGAAACCUUGGAAGGAACCAGGCUCAAGGGGGAAACCCAUCCUCCUCUGGUCGGCUCAGGUUGUUGAUUGUGACAAGCAUGUCAGUCAGUGGCUUAGCUACCUCGUAAGCCCAAGGUCAUUCAAGCUAAUCGCCAAAUAUUAUUAGGCUAUGUGUACCAACAGCUGUUGGUAUCUCCCCCCAGCACAGAGAUUUAAACCAAUUAGAGGGAAAUAUACUACUCGUAUUAGUGUAAUGAUCCUCGUUCGGUAGUAGUAGCAGCAGCAGCAAUAAACAGCAGGAGCAGUCGGAGCAGUAGCAUCAGCACCAGCAACAGCAGUAGCAGUAACAUCAGCAGUAGUGGCAGCAGUAACGCAGCAGCAGCAGUAGCACUCAGCAGCAGUAACAGCAGCAACAGCAGAAACAGAUUAUAGAGGAAACAUUGGUGGCUGCGACACCGGUACUUGCCAGUAGACAGUAGCAGCCGUGCUCAUAUACUGCAAAGCUUAUAGCUUGGAACGGAAAUUGACAUCACUGCUGUCGUUGCCGCACUGGAGCAGGAGUGGUGGUGUAGAACUCCGGAAUGGGGACCACAUUGCCAAUGAGACGGAGGCGGAUGGCAACCAGAUUUCAUCAUGGCAUUUCCCAAUAAAGGCUCCUCAGGGCUCGCAUGGGGAUGUAAGAGGGAAGUCAAACUGGGACCCAGAAAAGGCUGACAUUUGACCGAGCCAGCAUGCUGGGAUGCAGCGUGUACUUCAAAGGACCCGAGAGCCUGGUGGUAAAACAAUAAGUCACUCGGACUUCCUCUGAAUGGGCAGGCCAUUUGGCUCUCUGGAAUGUUACCACCUGGACACAACCAAGAUAAAGGGAACUAGUCUCUUUGUCUGUGGUUGUGGGUGUGGGUGUUUUGGGGUCGUAAAGGGUGAAACGACCGGCACCUGGUGGGGGCCACUGCACGGGACAGUACCACAGUGCCCUCAUUUGGGCCCCUCGGAUAUUACACUUUGUAUUUCUUUUCUGGAUCUGGACUAUAAACCAUCUAUAAACCAUCUGUAUAUCUUAUUUACAAAUCCCGGAAAACCUUACAAACCAUGCACAUGUUUUCAUUGUAUUAUUGUAUUAUGCCUUAUGUAAUAAUAACAUGGAUUGCAUGUACAAUGGUUAAACAAAAGGGUAUUUUCAUGACAACUGCACCAUAAUAUUACAUCCACUUGGCAUGUUUGGUAUGUACAUGUUCUCAAUAAUUCAAGCCAUUGAAUGAAAUAUGUUUCAUACCAAAUAUAAUUUGAAAAAACAUAGUUUCAGCAACUCAGGAAAAAACUAACACAAUGGAAUGUCCUCUCUGGUAAUCAUCUCCUUUUCUCGAUUUCCCCACUGAUUGUUUUAACAGCAGCCCCAAAUAGUGGGGGCCGAAAUUUGAGAUUUAUGAUUCGGCCAGGUUAAUUUAUGGUAAUGCCGCCUAGAUCAAACGCGGGAUUUGGCCUAAAAGGAAGGGAGACAAUCCUGUCGAGGAAGAUCGUAAUCGACUUCCCACAGUGCACAUACUCUGUGCGCUGUGUGUAGACAGACAAGGAAGAUCGUAAUCGACUUCCCACCGUGCACAUACUAUGUGCGCUGUGUGUAGAUAGCCAAGGAAGAUCGUAAUCGACUUCCCUCAGUGCACAUACUAGGCUAUGUGUUCUGUGUAGAGAUAGCCAUGGAAGAUCGUAAACGACUUCCCCACGUUACACAUAAUCUCUGUGGUGUGUGUAGAUUCACAAGGAAGAUCGCAAUCGACUUCCCGCACUGCGCAUACUCGAUGUUCUGUGUGUAGCUAAACAGGCUGGUAAGAACUCUUUUACUCUGUAUUUCUGUUUUUAACCUUUAUAAUUGAUUUUGGAAAUUGAAGAUAAUAACCUACCUGCCUGUUCAAUAAAUUCUUAUUUUUAACUUG
Long non-coding RNA from Anguilla rostrata (American eel), 2097 nucleotides. RefSeq lists it as uncharacterized. The record is from RefSeq and is a predicted model, not a curated record. The transcript has 2 exons. Lineage: Eukaryota; Metazoa; Chordata; Actinopteri; Anguilliformes; Anguillidae.